Molecule: long non-coding RNA, 1127 nt
Filed under: Acanthaster planci (crown-of-thorns starfish)
Lineage: Eukaryota; Metazoa; Echinodermata; Asteroidea; Valvatida; Acanthasteridae
Description: uncharacterized LOC110989965, transcript variant X2
Source: RNAcentral
UCCUUGCUCAGGGUCCCAUUAACAUGAACCACUUUUUGGACAUGAGCCUCUAACCACAUAGAAUUGAGUGACCAAUCCUUGCUCUGGUUCUCAUUAACAUGAACCAGCAGGUGGACUUGAGCCUCUAACCAUCUAGAAUUGAGUGAUCAAUCCCUGUGCUGGUCUCAACAACAUGAGCCAGCUUGUUGACUUGAGCCUCUAACCACCCAGGAUUGAAUAAUCAAACCUUAUGCUGGUCUCGGCUUCUUUUCUUGUUACAUUCACAGCACUGAUGCCUGACUCAUGUCACAUGAUUGAGUAUCCUGACUCGUCUACCUUUCUGCCUGCUGAACUUGUGAAUAUCCUGACUCUGACACCAUGUGGCACCUGUUGGAAUCACAACACAUCACUGAAAUGCAGUCUGCAAGUUGACGGUAACAGCUAAGAUUUGUGGAAAACUUUUGGAAGGGGCAUUGAAGUCUGGGAAUUCGUCCACAGAUCAGUCCAUUGACUAGAUGUUCCAAACCAUCCAUCAUUCAGUGGUCUGCCAUCUUGAAGGAUCAAUUUUCUUGAUGAAGAUGUGUGGGCAAAAACAUCAGCAAGGCCUAAGUGGUUCCUUUCUACUGUGGCAUUUGUUGGGGCUUCCCUUUAACAAACCUAGGCAGCACAAACAGGAGGCGACAAUCGUGCCUGCGGAAACACAUUUUUGUUAAAGGGUGCUGAGGUUGUAAAAUCAUAAAUAUCUGGGGGUUUUCGGUGAUUGUCUGAUGUGGAUGAGUUUGAAUAUGUUUGUGGCUUAACAUGGUCACAGUUGAGGGUGCUAUUUUGUACACCAGCAUCCUUGUCCAAAAAAGUUAGGGGUGCUUUGGCACCCACACCAGCCCCCGUCCCCAGGGGCUUAGCUACAAUGCUCAAAGAUUAGAUUAAAUUAGUUUUAGGCUUUUUGGAAAAGGGAAUACUAGAUGUUUUUAGUUGAACAUGCACAACCUUUUUUCACACAAAAACCCAUAUUUUUAGACUGCUUUUCAAGGGUGGAGUUUUGUCUCUAGAGAAGAAAUCAAUCAUAUUUGAAGCUAUCCUUUCUGUCUUAUCUGAGUAAAUUAAAAUUACAGAGCAUUAGACUCAUUGUUCACUCAAAUGUAGAAAUU